AUAGAACGCUGGCGGCAGGCCUAACACAUGCAAGUCGGACGGUAGCACAGAGGAGCUUGCUCCUCGGGUGACGAGUGGCGGACGGGUGAGUAAUGUCUGGGGAUCUGCCCGAUAGAGGGGGAUAACCACUGGAAACGGUGGCUAAUACCGCAUAACGUCGCAAGACCAAAGAGGGGGACCUUCGGGCCUCGCACUAUCGGAUGAACCCAGAUGGGAUUAGCUAGUAGGCGGGGUAAUGGCCCACCUAGGCGACGAUCCCUAGCUGGUCUGAGAGGAUGACCAGCCACACUGGAACUGAGACACGGUCCAGACUCCUACGGGAGGCAGCAGUGGGGAAUAUUGCACAAUGGGCGCAAGCCUGAUGCAGCCAUGCCGCGUGUAUGAAGAAGGCCUUCGGGUUGUAAAGUACUUUCAGCGGGGAGGAAGGCGGUGAGGUUAAUAACCUCACCGAUUGACGUUACCCGCAGAAGAAGCACCGGCUAACUCCGUGCCAGCCGCCGCCGUAA
Molecule: ribosomal RNA, 506 nt
Filed under: uncultured bacterium
Lineage: Bacteria
Description: partial 16S ribosomal RNA
Rfam family: Bacterial small subunit ribosomal RNA
Source: RNAcentral